UGGUGCCAGCAGCCGCGGUAAUUCCAGCUCCAAUAGCGUAUAUUAAAGUUAGUUGUCAGUUAAAAAGACUCGUAGUUGGAUCUCGGGUACUAGCAUGUGGUACGCUUAACUGCGUUACUACAUGUCUGGUCCUAAUCAACCGGUUGGCCGUUGAUGCCCUUUAUUGGGUGUUUUCGGUAGCCGGUACGUUUACUUUGAGAAAAUUAGAGUGCUUAAAGCAGGCCUUACGCCUGAAUAAUGUUGCAUGGAAUAAUAGAAUAGGACCUCGGUUCUAUUUUGUUGGUUUUGUAGAGCAUUGAGGUAAUGAUUAAUAGGGGACAGACGGGGGCAUUCGUAUUGCGGUGUUAGAGGUGAAAUUCUUGGAUCGCCGCAAGACGAACAACUGCGAAAGCAUUUGCCAAGAAUGUUUUCAUUAAUCAAGAACGAAAGUUGGAGGUUCGAAGACGAUUAGAUACCGUCCUAGUUCCAACCAUAAACGAUGCCAACUAGCGAUUAGCUGCUGUUAAUUAAACGACACAGCUAGCAGCUUCCGGGAAAA
This 538-nucleotide ribosomal RNA is filed under the name uncultured eukaryote. RNAcentral describes it as "SSU rRNA". It matches the Rfam family "Eukaryotic small subunit ribosomal RNA", at positions 562 to 1098 of the family's 1831-position model. The record is from RNAcentral.